RNAcentral lists this ribosomal RNA (782 nucleotides) under uncultured bacterium. Its description in RNAcentral is "bacterial SSU rRNA". It matches the Rfam family "Bacterial small subunit ribosomal RNA", at positions 28 to 809 of the family's 1533-position model. The record is from RNAcentral.
GAUGAACGCUGGCGGCGUGCUUAACACAUGCAAGUCGAACGAAGCACUUUAACCUGAUUCUUCGGAUGAAGGUUUUUGUGACUGAGUGGCGGACGGGUGAGUAACGCGUGGGUAACCUGCCUCAUACAGGGGGGAUAACAGUUAGAAAUGACUGCUAAUACCGCAUAAGACCACGGAGCCGCAUGGCUCAGUGGGAAAAACUCCGGUGGUAUGAGAUGGACCCGCGUCUGAUUAGGUAGUUGGUGGGGUAACGGCCUACCAAGCCAACGAUCAGUAGCCGACCUGAGAGGGUGACCGGCCACAUUGGGACUGAGACACGGCCCAAACUCCUACGGGAGGCAGCAGUGGGGAAUAUUGCACAAUGGGGGAAACCCUGAUGCAGCGACGCCGCGUGAGCGAAGAAGUAUUUCGGUAUGUAAAGCUCUAUCAGCAGGGAAGAAAAUGACGGUACCUGACUAAGAAGCACCGGCUAAAUACGUGCCAGCAGCCGCGGUAAUACGUAUGGUGCAAGCGUUAUCCGGAUUUACUGGGUGUAAAGGGAGCGUAGACGGCUGUGUAAGUCUGAAGUGAAAGCCCGGGGCUCAACCCCGGGACUGCUUUGGAAACUAUGCAGCUAGAGUGUCGGAGAGGUAAGUGGAAUUCCCAGUGUAGCGGUGAAAUGCGUAGAUAUUGGGAGGAACACCAGUGGCGAAGGCGGCUUACUGGACGAUGACCGACGUUGAGGCUCGAAAGCGUGGGGAGCAAACAGGAUUAGAUACCCUGGUAGUCCACGCCGUAAACGA